CAGUGGGGCUAAGUCUCAGGUUGUUGGGUAUAGGUUUGUACCCUUAGGAGGUUAAGCAUAAUUGGCAAAACUAAUUGAAAUUGCAUAUAAAACCUAUUUUCACUUUAAUACUUUUAUGAUAUUUAUGUGAUAGGCAGUAUUGUACAUUGUCUUUAUUGCAGAGCAUUUGGUAAAAUUGUCAACUAUAUAAUAUCUCAUUUUAGCAUUUGGAAAUCAGUUACCGCCCAUGCAUCAACAGCAAAGGUCUGUAAUGACAGAAGAAUACAAAGUUCCUGAUGGAAUGGUUGGAUUCAUAAUUGGCAGGGGAGGAGAACAGAUCUCUCGCAUACAACAAGAAUCUGGAUGCAAAAUACAGAUUGCACCUGAUAGUGGAGGGCUGCCUGAAAGAUCUUGCAUGUUAACUGGCACACCUGAGUCUGUACAGUAAGUAUUUACUGAAAACUUUCAAAUAAGCUAGCAUGCUUUUAGCAUAUCUAUCCCAUGAAUAUAUUUCAUAGAAAAUAGCCAUACUCAGUAAGGAAUUUCAUGUAAUCUGAAAUGAAGAGUUUUCAUUGCUAUUUCAGUAAGUAAUACAAUGUUUGUAUGAUUAAAGUAUGUUCAAUACAUUUUUGAGCAUUCAUUUCUCUAGUGAUUUUUUUGUAGCUCUACUUCCAAAGUACUGUACAUAUUGCAAAAAUUCCCAGUUGCUGCUUUAGCCACUUAUUAGAAAGCAAAUGUCUUUGACCACAGUACUUUCAGAGCUUAUAUUCAUUCUUAGGCUUAGGCUUUUAUGACUUUAAGUCUCAAGGUUUAAAUUUUGUGGCCUCACCCUGGCUUUCUCAAUAAUACUAUUUUUUCAUAAUUUUGUUUUGGAAGGAUAUUGCACAUCUUGCCCAACUGCAGAACACUAGUUUUGUUCUUAGCUUAUUUUGAAAACUUUGGAAGACUUUGGUAAUGCAUAAUAUUCAUUGCUAUUAGGUUCUGGAAUUUAAAUUUACUAUUGCUUCUACUUGCAAGUAAAGAAAGAAAUAUAAGUGCUAAUGCUCCUGAAUUGUUAACUUUUCAUGAAUUAAUGAUGUAAUAUAGCUCAUGUCUUUGCAUCAGUUGAAGGCUUUCAUUGGUGAAGCAGGAGUAUUUUUAGCAGUUUCGUCUCUAUAGACCCUUAUGGCCACCAACCUGCUCCAGGAUAUUGGGGAGCCUAAGAAACUAAUACGGGUCUGCGAGGAGAGGGUGAAUCACUGAAUUAUCCCCACCCUGCCAGUAUCUGUUAAUGGAAGAUCGCUAUAUUUAUUUGGCCUUUAAUAAUUAGAGAACCCUGUUUUUUAAAUGCUCAUUAAAAGAAUAUUCAGAAAAAUGGUUUUCCUUUAACACUGUAUGACAAAUGCAUUUAAAUUGAUAAAUUGAUGUUAUGUUUUGGAGUGAACCUUUGAAAUUCACCUUGGAUAGGGUAGUCUUUUAGCAAGGUUCAAAAAUUUGCUCUGAAGCAAGACUGUAGAUAUUUUAAGCCAUAGUCAAAUUCAUGUGUAAAAUUCCAAAAUAGAAAUAACCAGUUUCUCAAGACUCUUGGAGGGUUAGCCCCUUGUAUGCCAGUCAGUUGGCAGGGCUGACAUCUUGCCUACUAGAUCUCCUACUGAUCCUGCCUACUUGCAGACAAAUGAGCUUCAUUCUCACUGCAUUUAUUCUUGCUGAUUUCCCCAUUGGCACUCAACACAGAUUAAUUUUGAAUAGGGUGGUCUUCCUAUGCAGCUACGUAGGCUGUAGGAAGAUGUUUUUACUUUUUCCAGUUGGGGCCUAGAGCUACAACCAGAGGACACUGGAUUCCUUUUGCCUGUUUUUCUGAAAGGAUAGACCAGUAGGGUCUACCACAAUAAACAUCAGUCACUCUUUCCUUUCCAUCCAGUGUGACAAAGUUGGUGUAAGAGCACCAGGUAGCUGUAGUAAGAACAGCAACAGGUUAGAGCAAUGGGUAGCUCAGCAUUUCAGAAGGCACCAGUGGCAAUGGAGCAGAUAAGUGGAUGCUCCUUCCCAAACAAUACUAUUAACCCUGAUUUCAAUGGAGAAGGAAUUCACCUGGUGUUUCUCAGGUGGGUGAAAACCGAAGUUGCCAAGAAGGUGAGGGGAGCUUUAACUGCAGCUACAUGAAGAGAGCCAGAUUACCCUCCCCCCCCACCCUAAGAAAAAAAUAAAAGUAAAUCUGAAUGCAGACACAACCUGUUUGCCAGUCAUGGAGCAAUUCUUUAAGACAAUCCAACUCCUCAGAGCCAAGAUCACCUGAUAGGGAGUGCAAGAGAGCCAUGUGAAACAAGCUUACAUGUGGGAAACUAGGGUGCUCAAACAAAAGCACUGUUUACUCUUGAAUACGUCUGCAGGGCAGAUGCCUGAGGGCAAUUGUGCUAAGGCAUUUCUGAUACCCCUGUGUAUCUGAACAAAAGGAACAGCAAGCUUCGGGAGAGAAAAUGAACCAGGUGGCUCUUGAAGUUACCCAAAUUGUCCAUACUGAGCUAUUCCAAAUUCUUCUCAGGAAGAUGUGUGGCACUUUUGGUUGACACCCACACUGAAAAGGGACUCCCCUCUCCAGAAGGAUCAAAACUUGCAUUUCCACAGAAAAAUCCUAGGAUCUCUUCAAUGCCAUUGCCCAUUCAGUUCAAGGAUAUAUGAAAGACAGUCUGCUGGCAUUUAAAUUCUGUUUGCUAUGCAAAGAGAUCAUGGAACAGAUUAAUGUGGCAUUGGUUGAUGCAAGUAUUCCAUCAGAUGAAAUGAAAGUGACACAAGAUACCUGUGUCAAGUGGGUGGAGGUGACACUCCAUAAGGGCUUGGAACACUACUAUUUUCAAAGCAUACACAAUUCUGCAUUUGCUGGAGCUGUAUACAUUUGUACUCAAGACCUAGAAAUAGUGGAAUUAAUGUGGAUGGAAAAAAGAAAAUAGUUGAGAGCAAGGACAAGAAGCCCUUGCCAUAAACCAUGAAGCAGAUGGGAACUCAGUCCAGCUUCUGUUUUUAUGAAUUCUGCUUGUUGCCAGGCUUAUCGGGUCUCAGAGGCCCUGCAGUGGGCAGACUUCUCCAGUUCACAACUUUGGUUAUAUGAGCCUUGAGGUUGGUAACCCACAGCUGUGCUUUUAAGUUAGUUUACCUUUUUGGAACCCCCUCCAAAAUAAAUACCCUUCUGGGCAAUCCCCAAAUCUACACUUCCUCUCCUCUGGCAAAACAUUGCACAUUCUAACAAGCAAACAUUCAGUCCAUAGAGGCAAUUUCCGAGGCAUGAAAGAAGCAGGGUUCUGUCCAAGAAAAUGGAAGUGUAUGCUGUAUCCUGGAUCUCAAAUGGAUGAACAAACUCAUCCUGCAAAAGGCAGGUUAGGAUGAAAACUCUCCCAAAUCCAUUAUUACAACCUUGGGCAACUUCUUUACAUCCAAAGACCUUUGAGAGGGGUAAUUGCAUAUAUCAACCAUCAGUCAUUCUUGGGCAAGACUGUGUCCUUCAAACUGACUUCAGCACUGCCUGAAAAUACAGCACCACUGCAUUUAUGAAAAUUCUGUGGCCCUGGUAGCCUGCUUUAGGCAAUGUAUAUGAUCCUCCAACUGGAUGAUAACCUAAUCCAUUCCUGAACCUGGAUGGAAAACUUGCAAGAAGCGCAGAACACCCUGGAGUGACUCAAGGUGCCUGGUUUCAUUGUAAAUAUGCAGAAGCGUUCUCUGGAAACACAGACUGGAAUGCUGUGAGCUAGUGCUGGACCUACGGAGAAGAGGGUAUAACUUGUACACUUAGAAAAAAGUGGCACAGGAGGAAAGGAUGAAAUCCAUACAACUAAAAGGCUACCUAGGAUCAAGUCAGGAAGCAGUUUGUUGGGGUGUUUCCACACUAUAGACCACUUCCAAAGACUUUUGCUUUGUUCCAAGCACAGAUUGCUCAGCGCAGGUAUGUGCUGAUCCAGGUACCUUGUGUCAUGAUCCUGGCUCUCCCCUUAUUGCACUUAGGCUCCAAAACAGCAGUUUCUUUACAAGCAGAUCUUUAUUGGCAUUUCAUAGAUACAAGGCAAAUUAACUCAGUAAGCUUGAUAGUACAUCUCAGCACAUGUCAGGAAUUAUAGUUGAACCCGAUUUAGGGGCUUCUCCCCAGAAAGUUUUCUUUCAGUAACUGAGGUUCUAACAGGGUGGCUUCUGCUGUUGAAAGGCCAGCCUGCAAGAGCAUUGCAAGCCCGCUAACUCGGCAGCUUAUCUCUCCUAAAGCCACCACAUGGGGCAGGGAAGGGCAAGGCAGUAGCUGUUCCUCCUCUCCUUCAAAACCUGCCGCCCCAUUUCCACUUUACUGGGCAGUGUCCACUUUUAAAGGCCUGAGCUUCUGCCUGGUCUCCCACAAUGCCCUACCUUUGUUUUAUUGUAUUUUAAGUGUUGUAAACUGUCCAGAAAGCCAAGAGCCUUUUGUGAUGGUCUAUAAAAGGUUGAAAUGAAUUAAAUAAAAUCUCUGUCUCAAGGUCCCAUUCGGAAUCUCAGUCCUGCUGACCAUGCAGUUGUGACUGCUUCCAUUCAUACAUCUUGUUGACUAUGGAUGGUGAUGCCAUAGGUUGGCUAGAAGAGCAUCACUGACUCAGUCCAACAGUAUCAUAUUACAACACAGAAUCAUAGAGUAGCACAGUUGGACCUAGUGGCUCUCUGGAUUCUUCCAACAGAUGCUGUUCUCUUUGGAAAUCUAUAGAGUCCAGGGUAACCUGAACAAAAAUAGUCAAAGAACAAGUAAAGUCCUUGUCUGGGACUUAAGGCCAUUAAGUUGGCACUAAUAACCUUUCAAGGACAGAUAAACAGGCUGUAUGUGUUAAGAUGCAAUAAAUAAGAUGUAUAGCAUAGCAUGUCAGCAAAGGUCUUCACAAACGGGCACAAAAUCAUGUACCAUGCACAGGGCAGCUUUGAAAGUCUUGAGAAGAACAAGGGAAAAUCUUCCCUUGAUCAAAGCCAGACAUGGGUAGUAAAGUUAAAUUAGAUAGACCUGACUUAGUUAAAUAGCAAUUCAAAUGAAGGUGGGUGCUUCAUCUGCAGGCUUUUCAGCAGAUAGUUAACUGUUUUGAAAGAGUAAAGUAGACCUAUUUGUGACCUUUCCAAAUACAAAGCUGAGCCUUGGCACAAGACCCAUGUCCAAAAGCAGUGGGACACAAGGCUUGUGAUGUUUAAUGGUUUGGGGGUGGUUGUGUUCUUUUCUGCCAUUGCCUCUCCUAACAAAGUUUAGGGGAUCAAGUAUAACUGUUUCUAAUGGCACCAUUUUGGAUGUUCUGUUGCCAUCAUUUUGACAACAUAAGAAUGCUGGAGAUUUCCAGUCCCAAGAUAAUCAGCCAUUACAGGAGACUACUGUUUCAUCUACAGCCUCUCAUGUUUUACCUGACAGAUGGAAGCUGAACAGCAACAGCUUAGGUACCUAUGGUAUUCAUAAAAUCAUAGACUCAUAGAAUCAUAGUCUGAAUAGUAGAGUCUGAAGGGGCCAGAGGGCCAUUAGGACUCUAUAGGACUCCAAGGUAAACCAUGCCUCUCAGAUGGCUAUCCAGCUGUAUCUCGAAUGCCUCUAAUAUGGGAGAGCCCAUAUUUUCCCUAGGUAAUUAGUUUCAUUGUCAUAUUGCUCUAACAGAAAGUUCUUCUGAUGUUUAGUUGAAACUUGACUUCUGUAACUUUCCCUGUCCUGUACUCUGGGAGGAUCAAGAAUCUGACUGAACACACUUAAGAGCCCAUUAUCUGGCCUAUGCUGUGGUGGUGAGGGCGGCGAAAAA
Varanus komodoensis (Komodo dragon) is the source of this 5726-nucleotide long non-coding RNA. RefSeq lists it as uncharacterized. The transcript is spliced from 4 exons. Lineage: Eukaryota; Metazoa; Chordata; Lepidosauria; Squamata; Varanidae. The record is from RefSeq and is a predicted model, not a curated record.